GAAUUCGCCCUUAGAGUUUGAUUCUGGCUCAGGACGAACGCUGGCGGCGCGCCUAACACAUGCAAGUCGAACGAGCGAGAGAGAGCUUGCUUUCCCGAGCGAGUGGCGAACGGGUGAGUAACGCGUGAGGAACCUGCCUCAAAGAGGGGGACAACAGUUGGAAACGACUGCUAAUACCGCAUAAGCCCACGACCCGGCAUCGGGUAGAGGGAAAAGGAGCAAUCCGCUUUGAGAUGGCCUCGCGUCCGAUUAGCUAGUUGGUGAGGUAAUGGCCCACCAAGGCGACGAUCGGUAGCCGGACUGAGAGGUUGAACGGCCACAUUGGGACUGAGACACGGCCCAGACUCCUACGGGAGGCAGCAGUGGGGAAUAUUGCACAAUGGGGGAAACCCUGAUGCAGCGACGCCGCGUGGAGGAAGAAGGUCUUCGGAUUGUAAACUCCUGUUGUUGAGGAAGAUAAUGACGGUACUCAACAAGGAAGUGACGGCUAACUACGUGCCAGCAGCCGCGGUAAAACGUAGGUCACAAGCGUUGUCCGGAAUUACUGGGUGUAAAGGGAGCGCAGGCGGGAAGACAAGUUGGAAGUGAAAUUCAUGGGCUCAACCCAUGAACUGCUUUCAAAACUGUUUUUCUUGAGUAGUGCAGAGGUAGGCGGAAUUCCCGGUGUAGCGGUGGAAUGCGUAGAUAUCGGGAGGAACACCAGUGGCGAAGGCGGCCUACUGGGCACCAACUGACGCUGAGGCUCGAAAGUGUGGGUAGCAAACAGGAUUAGAUACCCUGGUAGUCCACACUGUAAACGAU
This 801-nucleotide ribosomal RNA is filed under the name uncultured bacterium. RNAcentral describes it as "bacterial SSU rRNA". It matches the Rfam family "Bacterial small subunit ribosomal RNA", at positions 1 to 810 of the family's 1533-position model. The record is from RNAcentral.